Drosophila subobscura is the source of this 316-nucleotide long non-coding RNA. RefSeq lists it as uncharacterized. The transcript has 2 exons. The record is from RefSeq and is a predicted model, not a curated record. NCBI's taxonomy places the organism in Eukaryota, Metazoa, Arthropoda, Insecta, Diptera, Drosophilidae.
UAUGAAGAUAAUUUCCGCCUCAUUGAGUGCUGUCAUUGUAUCCAUUCUGCUGUUCGAUUGGUUUCUCAUUGAGCAAGCUUCAGCGAUCCCCGACAGCACGCCCCCACCGCCGCAUUGCCUUAGACCACAGAACGAUGGCGCAAACUGUCACAUGCCGCGCUGGCAUUUUAAUGCAUUUACGGAAAAUUGCGAACGCAACUUGACUUGCAACGUGGAUUCCUUCAAAACAUAUCUCAAGUGCAUGCAAAACUGUGCACUGUGAUCGCAAAGAGGCAUAAAUAAAUUUGAGGCAUGUACGAUGUGUUAUUCGGGGAUA